Molecule: ribosomal RNA, 301 nt
Filed under: uncultured bacterium
Lineage: Bacteria
Description: partial 16S ribosomal RNA
Rfam family: Bacterial small subunit ribosomal RNA
Source: RNAcentral
CAGUCGCCACGGUAAUACAGAGGGUGCGAGCGUUAAUCGGAAUUACUGGGCGUAAAGGGCGCGUAGGCGGUUAGGAAGGUGUGAUGUGAAAGCCCUGGGCUUAACCUAGGAAGUGCAUCGCAAACCAACUAGCUGGAGUAUAAGAGAGGGUGGCGGAAUUUCCGGUGUAGCGGUGAAAUGCGUAGAGAUCGGAAGGAACGUCAAUGGCGAAGGCAGCCACCUGGCUUAAUACUGACGCUGAGGCGCGAAAGCGUGGGGAGCGAACAGGAUUAGAUACCCCGGUAGUCCCUGUCUCUUAUAC